GGUUGGGGUUGGGAGUGGGGUUGCUUUGGAUUUGGGGUUAGAGUUGGUUUGAGGGUGGGUUGGGGUUGGAUUGGGGCUGGGAUUGGGAUUGGUGUUGGAUUGCUGUUGGGGUUGGGUUGGGUGAGGGUUGGGUUGGGAUUGGGGUUGGGGUUGGGUUUGGGGUUGGGAUUGGGGUUAAAGUUGUGGCUGAGGUUGGGUUGGGGUGAGGGAUGCAACGACACAGCGUGACCAGGAAAGCUCCAAGAAAUGUUAAUGCAGAAGAAGUAAAUCUGUGUAAUCCCCACUACGUACCAAACAGCAGUGAAGCAAACAGAGCUGCACACUGCACAGUUAUGUGUCAGACGUUCCAUCCUGUGGUUUUCUUCACAUGGAAUAAAAGUUGGGAGGGGACGAAGCGGCCAAUGGGGACAUGUGUUGGGACUGGGGUUGGAAAUGUACUGAAAGGGGACAUUUCAGAAACCUGCAUGCGCUCUGAGGGCACCAAAUGUGAGCGCCGGGGGCCCGAAGUGCGUCUGACAAAAUCAAGUGUUGCUCCUUCCUCGAGAAUCAGAGGGUGAAAGCAGAGCUCUCCUUCCCGGCCCAACGCCAACCCCAACCCCAACACAACUCCAACCUCAACACAACCCCAACCCCAACCCUCACCCCAACCCUAACUCUUAACCCCAACCACAAACCCAACCCCAACCCAGGCUCUAACCCAAACCCCAAUGUCAACGCUGUCAACCCAACCCCAUCCUCAACCCUAACCCAACCCUAAUGCUAACCCCAACCUCGAUCCCAACCCCAUCCCCAACUCUAACCCAGCUCCAAAAGCAACCCCAAACCUCACCCCAACACUAAUUUUAACUCCAACCCCAUCCCUAACUCUAACUCUAACCCCAAACUCAACCCCAUCCCCAACUCCAAUCUCAACCACAAUCCCAACCAACCCUCACCUCAGUUCUACCUCUAAUCCCAACCCCAAACCCACCCCCAACCCUAAGCCAAGCCCAUCCACAAUCCCAAUCUCAACCUCAACCCAGACUCCAACCCAAACCUCAGUGUCAGCCCCAUCCCCGACACCAACCCAAUUCCAACCCCAACCCCAAAUCCAUCCCCAACCCUAACCCAGCCCCAACCACAACCCCAACACAACUCCAGCCGCAAUCCCAUCUCCAGCCCCAACCCAACCACAACCCCAACUCCAUCCCCAACCCUAACCCUAAUCCAACCCAACUCCACUCCCAACCUCAACACCAUCCCCAACUCUAAGCCAACUCCAAACCCAAUCCUAACCCUCAAACCAGCACUAACACUAACCCUAAUCCCAACCCCAACAUCAACCCUAUUCCCAACCCAAUCCCAACCCCAACAUCAACCCUAUUCCCAACUCCAACUCCAAACCCAACCCAAUCCCAACCCCAACAUCAACCCUAUUCCCAACUCCAACUCCAAACCCAACCCAACCCCAACAGCAACUCUAACCCUCAUCCCAACCCUAACCCUAACCCAACCCCAACUGGGAAUUGGGGGAACAGGAGGGAAUGGGAGGAUUGAAGGAAACUGGGAAAUUAGGAGGAAUUGGGGGGGAAUAGGUGGGAAUUAGGGGGAACUGGGGGGAGUUGGGGGAUUGAGGGAAUUAUAGGGAAUGGAAUUGGGGCUAUAUGGGGGAAAAUAGUGGGAAUUGGGGGUAAUUGAUGGUAAUUAUGGGGGUAAUUGGGGUAAUUGGGGAGAACAAGGAGUAAUUAGUGGGAACUGGAGGUAACUAAUGGGAUUUCAUGGGGUAAUCAGUGUGAAUAGGGGGUAAUUGGUGGUAAUGGGGUAAUAGUGGGUAAUCAUAGCGUAAUUAUGGGGUAAUUAGGGUUAAAUGGUUGAAAUUAAUGGGUAAUUAGUAGUAAUUGUGGGUAAUUGGUCAGGGAAGUAUUGGGGAGUUAGUGGAACUUUGGGUAACU
RNAcentral lists this long non-coding RNA (1931 nucleotides) under Gallus gallus (chicken). RNAcentral describes it as "lncRNA (ENSGALG00010028654.1)". Lineage: Eukaryota; Metazoa; Chordata; Aves; Galliformes; Phasianidae. The record is from RNAcentral.